CCCAGGCACACCUAGAGACAGACAGCUCUAGAGACACAGGAUUCCCAUUUGAGAACACAUGUAAGUGAAUCAUUGCUAUUUAUUAUUCACGUGCAUCUGUGUACCCUCGGGGUACAGCCCAUGUUUAGCCUUUAUAAGACCACAGGGCGCCCCACCUAGCACCUUAAUUCUAUCUCCAAAUUCUUAUAUAGGUAUAGUCACAUCUCAAGUGGGGAGAGAAUGUCUGUCCAUCCUGCCAGAGCAUUGUCUAUCCUGUCACAGACUAAACCCCUAAUCUAGUGAGGCUUUACUCUUCAGACCCCACUGACUGCAAAAAAACUAUAAAAAAAGUUCAUGACCUAUCAAUUAACAUUCUAAACAAAGUGUCAUUUACAGUAAUUCAUACACAUCAUUCUAUCCUGUAAUGAUGAAUAGGGCAAUUAGAUUGUGAUUAUUUCGGCAAUAUCCAUGGCUGCAAUUACUCCGUGGAUUUACUCCCUAACCUAAUUGGACAGGAAAUUAAAUUACAUUAUAAAUUGCACCCUCCCCCCAAGACAAGUAAGUGUGCAUUUGUUCAAAAUUUACUUUUUUGGUUUGUCUGUUGCGUUUGUUCUCAUUGUUCCCAUUUGUGUUGCUUAGCCUGCCCAGAGUGGAUUUUUUUUUAGUUUCAAGAAUAAAUAGUUAUGGUUUUACUAACAAAAGUGGCUCCAGAUCCUUUUGGGUUGUGUGACAUCCAAAUGAGAAGCAUACUUUCUGCAAAGCUUGCAAUAAAUGGGCAUUGCAAGGCAGGAAACAAUGUAUACCCUGUAUUAAAGCUGCUUGUUCCCAUUAGCCUUUUCCAAAUUCCCUGGAUUACAUUCAACAGUCUGCUGCUAUGUGGAUUAUACAUGACACUCAUAUAUGGCAAAAACUGGCUAACAGCACUGAAUGAACCUAGAAAAAUACCAGACCAGUGUGUUCAACUGAUUAUACUAUAGAGGAGAAGGCUUUUCUCCAGCCUCACUGAGAUUUUGAACAUCGUUGGACUCAAGGUAUGAAAGUAAUUUAAACAUGACUUUUUUCUGCUUUAGGAUGACUGUUCUCAUUUUUGUUUUUCUUGGGCUCAAUAUUCCAGGUCUGAAGAGGACAACGAUUUCUUCAAGGAUCAGAAGUUUGGUUUGUCCUGAGAGAAUGAAGUGUCAAUCUCCGAGAGAACCCAUGGGAUCUAUUAAAAUGGAUCAUUUGAUAACAGCAGCAAAGGGAUCCUUCAGCUUGAAGCACUGUACAGCCGAAGAACCGUAAUCUAGCAGACAUAGUAGAUGUUUCUGACUGCUAAAGGAAAAUAAUUUCUUUCCGCCUUCAUGAUAUUAUUAAACUCCAAGAGGGAAAAAAAUUUAAACCUGGUGUCAAUUACAGUAAAAAUUUCAGAUACAUCCAUUUGAUCUUAUUGCCCAGGAAAGGAGUAUUCACCAAUGCAGUCCUGUGUAGGAGACUCAUUUUCCACAGCUAGCCAUUCCAAAAGAGGCAUAUCCAUCAGAUUGGAGAAGGCCUUAAGAUCGUCAGCAUCAGUGGUGCCGCCUGACAGCUGACUGAAUGUCACGGUAAAGAACACCAAAACGUGCAGUGUCUAACCCCAUACCUAAAAGAGGACGUAUUGGGGGCGUGGCUAACGGCCGAGCUGAAUAGCCGCUUGCUGAAACAGCUCCGGGCAAUACAGGCAAAAAAAUCUAAAUUAUUGGAGGUAAAUCGCUAACAUGGGGAACCCCAAAACAUCCCAAAGUUCCCACACAGGCUCAGAGAAGACCCCGGCAAAGAAAACAAGCUCUCUCACUAAACCUUUCACUAAACUCUUCAAAGAGUAUGAGGACCACAUGCUUCACUGAUUGCAACAUGGCGCCGGCGGAAACACACGCUGGUUUCAAACCGCCUAUCCCAGCCAUAUCGGACGGCUCUAUGGGCUCAACUGACCUGGACAUAAAAUAUACUCUCAGGAACCUAGCAUCGAGAUCCGAUUUAGCCAUAAUGCUGGGGAAACUGGAGACCUCCUUCCAACACAACUGGACAGCCUCGGUUCCGACAUACGCCAGGUAGGCCACCGUGUCCAGGAUUUGGAAGAUGAAAGGGGGACCACACAGGCGGAAAUGUACUUACUUACCACCAAAGUAGAGUCCCACGCAAUGUACCUGUCCCAACUCCAACGAUCCCUAGAUGAUGUUGACAAUCGGGGAUGCAGAAACAACAUUAGAAUAAGGGGAAUAACUGAAGAAGCAAAUGAAGACCUACCAAACACCCUUAAGGAACUAUGCAACCUCAUACUAGGUCGCUCCUCGGAUGCUCCCUUACUGUUUGACAGGGCACACUGCUCACUAAGGCUUAAGAAUGCAGCGGGAGAAGUUCCCCAAGACAUACUAUGACGCCUCCACUACUUCUCGGCUAAGGAAAAGGUGCUGAGAGCACUAUGGGACACAGACUCCCCACUACUGUUCCACGGGCACAAAAUUCAAGUCUACCCAUGGCUGACUUUGCAAGCCAGAAGGGCCCUCACGCCCAUAACGGAUCAACUAAGGGCACGAAAUAUCAAGUAUCGCUGGGGUUUCCCUUUCGCCCUAACUGUCUUAGCUUUGGAACUAAGUAUUAGACACAUGGACUGGUACCCUCCAAACCCGUCACAACUAAACAACUAUCAGCCAAAAACACAAAAAUGGCGCACUCCCAUGAAGAAAAGAAGAACAGACCCCAUGGAUGCCCCAGGUCGUGACAAAAGACGACCACCAAGCAUGAACAUGGAGUGAGUCGGCAGCACAUUUGCGCACUGGAUCCCUAGAUGGAUUACUCUUGUUUUCCUUCCACUCCUCUCGGAACUGAAACCCACACUGCACACACGCAUUCAAGGACGCAUACUAUGCUUAAUUAAUGGCACAUAAAACCAUUGCAAAUGGACCUUCCAAAAGGGAGAGACUGACUGGCAAUCCACAUCUAAAGGACUGCUUAUCACCUAAGGGCCAACGCAGCGUGUACCACCCUGGCGUACAAAGACACAUGACUAGGACUCUAUAUUCACGGACUGCAGAAGGCCUAUUCUGGUAACGACGGUGCACUGAUAUCAGCCAGGUUGCAUGUCUCUGAAACUGUUACUCGUAAACUAGUUACACAUGUAUGAAUGCAUCUCCUCUCACAUCCUACCCUUCUCUAAAUAUUUCACGACAACCAGAACACACAAAUAAACACUCACACCAUUAGGCCUGUCUCCCACCCAUCAUCUGAAGCUCAGCUGAGAGAAAUACCAGACAGGAAAAACAUUCAAACAAUAUGUACCUUAGCAAUGAACAUGAGGGGAAACACACAAAAAACAACAAUAAACACAUCAUCUAGGAUCUCAGGGCGGAUGGUCUGAGCUAAUACUCACCGGCAACACCUACAUACUUCCAAUAUGUUUUCAUCACAUAUGUUUGAUUUUGACCUGAAAGCAUGUAUUACCAACUACACUCAGAAGACAACACAAAUCUCCUACGAACACUCACAUUUGAAAGUCAGCCUAUGAGACACUUUCAAUUCACACAUCUCACAUAAGCCACAGAGACUGACAGACAAUAUUCCCCACCGAACGUACCCCAUUUCACUUUAAGCAGUGCAAUAAGUGCUACCUGUAUACUCUGAAUAUCUCCAUGACAAACACCAGCAUACACUAUUCGACCCGGUUCCUACAUCAAAACUACAACACUCAAGACCUAAGAACCGCAACACUGUAUAUAGUUGUAAUAUUGUUGAUAAGACAUCUCUAUUGUCACUUUAUGUUUAUGUUUUCAUUUUGAUUGCAUUGUAAAUUUUAUAGUACUGUUUUUGCAUAGACAUUUUACCACCUGCAGCACUGGAACACAGUAAAGAGACACAAGUAAACUUCCACCCUUAACCCUACAGGUACACAAGAUAGCCUCUCUGUCCCUGAUUACACACAAUGCGAGGGGAUUAAAUACCCCUGAAUAAAAUACAUAUGGCCCUAACCGACUACCACAAACUUAAGGCAGAGGUUGUCUUUAUACAAGAAACACACUUUCACAAAGACUUUGCACCCUCCCUCAGAAACAAAAACUUCCCCAAGGGGUACUUUAUCAACUACUCAAUGUCAAAAUCACGAGGCGUGGCGAUUUUGUUUAAAUCAAACCUCCCCUAUGUAUACCAGGACCACAGCGCUGAUGACAGCGGUAGAUUUCACACGCUCCGAAAAAUCUUAAAUAACCUGGAACAAUUCACUAAAGGACUCCAAAUCCUCGAAUGAGCUUUUAACAUUUCACUACUAGACACGACUUCCGAAGCACAAUCAUACCACUCCUCCAUAAGGAAUCAUAUACAAAAGCUUCUAGACACAGACCAACUGUACGAUUGUUGGUGGACUUGCCAACCAAUGAGGAGAGACUACUCCUUUUAUUCCCACCCAUCAGGCUCUUACUCGAGGAUUGACAUGUUCUUCCUCCCCUACAAAUUCCCAAAUUUAAUCACAUCAUGCACAUACGAGCCAAUCACAUGGUCUGUCCAUGACCAUCACAAUUCCAUCCAUACACCCCUCCACCCCAGUGGAAAUUGAACAAUACUCUACUGAACUACACAGAGGUACAGGCCCAAAUUAGAUCAGAACUAGACCAAUAUUUCUCCCUUAACACAUACCCAGACUCAUCAAACCCGAUCAUAUGGGAAGCCCACAAGAGUACAAUAAGAAGCAUAAUUAUUAGAAUAGCAUCAACACAUAAGAGACAGAGGGACGGGGGGUGGAGCCUGGACUGCAAGCAGCUCCUGCUGUAAACGCUGCUUACCCCGGGCUGACAACUCAGAAUCUUCUGCUUUAGGUGAAAUCCAUGCUGGGGGCACCCUACCCUACUCGUGAGCACCUUUAUCGACGCUCGGAAGCAUUGAGAACCGCACCAAGUUAAGGCCUACUGGAGGCAGAACGGGGAAGAGACGGCCGCUCUCCUCUCGCUGCUUACCCCGGGCUGACAACUCAGAAUCUUCUGCUUUAGGUGAAAUCCAUGCUAGGGGCACCCUACCCUACUCGUGAGCACCUUUAUCGACGCUCGGAAGCAUUGAGAACCGCACCAAGUUGAGGCCUACUGGAGGCAGAACGGGGAAGAGACGGCCGCUCUCCUCUCGCUGUACCAAGCCACUACACAAGCGACUUUCCUACCCCCCUCUAGACCGGCGGGGGAUAUCCCGGUCCCCCCCUGGAGAGCAGACAGCUAUACUAGAGUUGCUUCAUUAGCUCACAGAACAAACCACACAGUGCGGCUCAAAAUCCCAAGAUGGCGGACGCAGCCUACACAAACGCACGAGGCAAGACGGUAACUACUGGGGCACCGUUAUUAUGCUUUUCUUAUGUUUUGCUUUCCUUUCAGCCACCUCUCCAUACACUACCUAAUAUCACAGCAGUACACACUUCUGCCGACACUGCACCCAGGUGCGCACUAACAACAAUCUUACAAGCAUGUUUACCUAACGUACAUUUUGUUCCCUCUCCAUGUCUGCAUGGUUACAUAGGUUGUCAAAAUAUGAGGCACAUACCUGGCUCCUUUCACUGUAAUAGCCAACAUUGUGACUCUCCUCAGUGUAUCCUCAAUGUCAGACAUGAUUGAUUAGCUUGAGGUUUAUCUUGUUCUUAAUAUUUAAAAAAAAGUGCAAGUCUUUGCUAAUUACCCCAAAUGUCACAUGUGAUGCUCUACUAUGCCGUUGGGGUACCUCUAGCCUGUUUGUACUCAAUCUAUGCACUGCAAAAAAAAAAGAGAGACAGAGACAGAGGGACAAAAAGGCUACCCAACUCAUACACGAUAUUAGGACCCUGGAAACAGCCCACAAAUUGGACUUGAACUUAGCAACCUACAAAACAUUGGUAGAAAAGAGGACCGAACUAAACAUACUCCUGAAUAUGCAAACCAAACGCAAACUUGCUCUCACCAAAAGCCUAUACUACACCCAAGGGGGGAAAAGCGGCCACUUACUAGCACAUGCCCUCAGAAAACAAAGGGAAAACACCUUUAUUUCCUCCAUUAAAAUAAGGAAGGCACCAAAUCCCAAUUAAUGACAGUUAUCAGAUAUCAGACUUUCACGACUUCUACUCAGCACUUUACAAUUUAAGAACUAUCCCCUGACCCCCCUCACACAGAGGAACAAGACUUCCUCACGCACAGAAUUAAGUCCACAAUACCAAGAAACAUACAACACUCACUAGAACAUCCCAUAACAAGCAAGGAAUUCCACGUAGUAACAAAAAAGCCUAGGCCCAGAUGACCUCACAGCCAAAUACUAUAAAUUAUUCACUUCUUCGCUGUCCACACACUUUCUUAACUCCUUCAAUUCCCUCCUCAAAAUACCGGCCCUCCCGCCACAAGCACUAAACGCCACAAUAACUCUACUACCCAAACCUGAAAAAGACCCAACCCUCCGUGGAAGCUACAGGCCCAUUUCUCUUAUCAACGUAGACCUCAAACUAUUAAACAAAAAUAUUAAACUUGAUCCACUUCUCAAAACUCACCGGGGGUUCACGUCUACUCCUGUCAAUAUACGCUGAAAAGGCGUUUGACAGGGUAAACUGGACCCUCAUGAUGGCAACUCUGCAACACAUGGGCUUUGGCCUAAAUUGGCUACAGUGACUAAGGGCAUUAUACUCUACACCUACAGCGAGAAUACGAAUUAAUGGCCAACUGUCAAAUCCAGUGGCUAUCUGAAAUGGUACAAGGCAGGGAUGCCCUCUUUCCCCCCUCCUAUUUGUCCUGGUCCUGGAACCCUUCCUCCAGGGCAUUAGAGACAACCCCCAAGGAAGUCAAGGAGUCCGAGCAGGAGGCACAGAACACAAAAUCUCUACCUUUGCGGACGAUAUGUUGUUCACAGUCUCAGAUUCCAUCCACACACUACCCCAUCUCAUACAAGAAAUUACACUAUACAGUAGAAUCUCAAACUUCCAGGCAAAUCUUAGCAAGUGUGAAAUUCUCCCACUCACCAUACCUCGAGAAACAGAAUUAUUACUUCAAAGAACCUAUACCUUUACAUGGGUAGAUGCAUCUAUAAAGUACCUGGGGGUCCAAAUCCACAAAGUACUGACACAAGUGUAUGACAGUAAUUUUCCCUAAUUAAUCUAAUCCAUUUUCGAAAGAUUUACCUUCAUGGAAUAUGCCACACUUUGGAUGGUUCUGCCGAUUGAACACCCUGAAUAUGAAUGUCUUACCUCGACUCCUUUACAUGUUACAAGUGUUGCCCAUUUCACUACCCAAACUCCUAUUCACUACCAUACGCAAAACAUUCACAACCUUCAUAUGGGCCCAUAAACACCCCAGACUAUCCAAUUCUUUACUCACAAGACCGAAAGAGGAAGGCGGACUGGGCCUCCUCGACUUAGAAACCUACCACAAAACCACUCUACUGACCAGAGUAUAUGACUUGUCGGAGCACAGCUCAACCAAACAGUGGGUACACCUGGAAGGCUCAUUCUUCAGGGUCCCAAUAUACACAAUUCCAUGGCAUGAAUCUGGGCAAGCUCUCCUGAACCAUCAGGCACACCCAACCAUAACCCUGAGAAUGUGGGCCCAUGUGAGAAACCACCAACAGAUAUUACCAUACCCGUCACCUCUCUACCCAAUUACACACAACCCUUUAUUCAAACCAGGGGAAGACGGAAAGACGUACAGAGAUUACCACACAACCCCCUACCUGACUUUAGGAACUCUGAUAGAUGACUCUCGGGUAAAACCAUUGCACUCCCUCCGCCCCUACUGCACUUCAUAAGGACAGGACCCUUGGCAAAUUAAUUUCCCUAAUGUACACCCUGCUCUUAUCCACCCAACCCAAACACCUCCUGGUCUAUACUCCAAGCUGGGAAAAAGAACUGAACAUUUCCCUAACACCAGAACAAUGGCCUAAAAUAUUCAAGCUCAUUCACAACACUCAAAACAUAGUGGCCCAAAAGAGUAACUGAAAAAGAAUUAUUAGGUGGCACUACACCCCGCAAAACUCCUCUCCUUGUCCCCACACUCACCCAACAAAUGCUGGAGAUGCCAACAACCGAACGGCAACUCAGCACACAUCUGGUGGACUCCUACAUCUAAUAACAGCAGAAAACCAACUAAUCCCAAUGUUCUGGAAAAAGCCAAACCCCCCAUCAAUAAGAGACUGGAUCCAGAAAGUAGAAACCACUAGAAACUUAGAGGAAACAUGUUACUCCAUGUCUAAAUAAUACCACCAAUACACCUCCACGUGGGGCCCUUGGUGCAGGUACCUUAAAAAUAACACAAUGUAACUCUCCCUCAACCAUCCAAAAUUACCCCUAACAACACAAAGUUCCACUAGAAGAAACUUAGUAUAGAGGAAAAGUUGACUCAGACAAAGUCAAAGUGCCCCAACUAGCCUACAAGGGUGGGGAACACAUUUUCUUAGGCCAGGAUAUCAUUGUAAACGGUAAUGGUUACUUAGACGCCUAACACCACAGAAUCAACCGAAAAUUCAGGAUGCCCUUGGCCAAAAACCUAAACCGAAAAUUACUUAUUUUAUCCAAUUGAUUUUAAAAUGCUAAGUAUUCUAACAAGAUUGAUUUACAGUGAGUCCUGCUUGGGCUGAUGUUAGCCAAUCCAUCCACCCAGCCAGAGAGCUGUGCCCCACAUAGGACUGUUCCCGCAAUCCACCCAUAGGACUGUGCUCCCCAUCCAGCCAGAGAGCUGUGUCCGCCAUCGGACUGUGCCCCCCAUCCACAUGUGCCCCCCAUCCAGCCAGAGAGCUGUUCCCCCCAUCCACAUGUGCCCUCAUAGGAUUGAGCUCCCCAUCCAGCCAGAGAGCUGUGCCCCCCAUAGACAUGUGCCCACCAUCCACCUACAGACAUGGGCCCCCCCACAGGACUGUGCUCCCCAUCCAGUUGUGCCUGGGGCUGUCAGUGGCUCUCAGUCAAUGCAUGCUAGGUUAACCCUGUCUAGCCCAGAGGCAGAUCUUACCGUUCUUGGUGUCUGCACACCGUCCGUUUACAGAACUUGCUCACGGCCCCGUUCUCCUGCUCGUCCCCGUUUCGGUUAUUCUACCCUUGCUGUUCUUCACGUUUGGAAUGGCGGGCGGGAUCCUCGCUGCGGACGGGAACCUCACUUGGUGCAAUCAGGUGCUCAGUCCGGUGGCCUCACACACAAGCUCAGCACACACAGGGCGGCCCGCGGGUCCUUGCCAGGGUAGAAGGCGUGUCUCGUUGUUUUGAUUCCGAUGAAAGCAGCCGCGGACUAGAUCACUCAUUACACCAAUCUCCACGUGCACCAAGAAAGACUGCAGGACAGCACGUGUAAUUUUCUGCAGAUCUGACCAAUUUUCAGCCAAAAUAAGACAGGGCCAUUUUCCAUAAGAUAGGCCCAUUUGCAUCCCUAACUUACAGUGCUGUAUUAUGUCAAAUGUACUAUCUUCAAAGCAUGUAAUACCUUCUUUUGAUAACGAAUAAAACAAACAUAAAUAAAAAUAAAGAGUACGUAUUACCAAACCAUAGAAUGGUCAGGCUUAACAUGGUAGAGAAAUAGAGUAGUCAGAUGAUGGCCAAAAAUCUAAGUACGCCAGAAAUUGGGAGAGUGAUUAAGGAAUAGCCGAGUCAGAAUACCAGAGAGCAGGAAAGUUAAAGUACAAGCAGAGUCAAAAAACAGAUAAGCGAUACAGACAAAGGAAGCACUAUAGGGAACAAGCCUUGAACCACAAAAGGGUACUGUACAAGGCAAAAGAUGUAUAUUUAUAUGGGAGUGUCUUUUGCUUUAAGGCCACACCCCAAAACGGUCUGAAGUGUUGAAAAUAGCGCAAAAUCGCAUCAUCUGCAUUAUGCCAUUGAUGUGCAUGCGUCACGUCAUAAAAAGGGUGUGUGAUCGUAGUGUCAAACAUCACCACGUGGUUGCCCGGGAGUGAGGUAAGAUAUUGUGGCACUGAGACAGUUGCACAUGGCUGGAGCUAAGCAAACUACAAAAUAAGUCUAUUACGCAACAACAAAAAAUGCUCUCUUAUCUUCAAUAAACGAGUUCUAUCUCCUGUGGCACACUCCACAGAGGAUUUGACCUCCAUUGACCAUUCCAGAUGGGCACUGCCUGCGCUAGACUGUUGACAUAUCCCUUGCAGGCUGAGUAGGUUGCAGUCCACUUAUACAGCAAUAUUCCCUAUAUCUGCUCUAAUUGCUUUAUAUGAUUUCUUACUCUGUGGUGCAUGUGUACUGCACAGCGUCUACUUUACUGCUUGGCACUAGACUCUCACUAUACCAUCACAGCAAAUUAUGCUUAUAUCAUUCAUGUUUGGUCUAGAGUUAGCCUUUUAGACCAUUCAACUAACCCAUGCAAAAUCCCUCACUGCUAUAUUGGCAUACAUGGUUCAAGAGUCUAAUCUAUCUCAGCAUUAUCUACUCGGCACACUCUAAGUUAAGUCACUCAUGUGAUUACAUGCUGGUACUUUCUAAACUGUCAAGCUAUUGAACCAAGUAAUUUGUUUUUUAAACUUGUGUUAUACUGCUAUUUUCUUCUUUCUCCUUAUACUAUUCUUGUAAGCACCAAUAUAAAUGUGUUGCACUGCUGAUAACACUUGACUAUUUUGCUUAAUAUAUGGUGAUGUAUACUCUGUCAGUGAACAAUGC
Pelobates cultripes (western spadefoot toad) is the source of this 10564-nucleotide non-coding RNA. The record is from the annotation of a GenBank genome assembly. Lineage: Eukaryota; Metazoa; Chordata; Amphibia; Anura; Pelobatidae.